Lolium rigidum is the source of this 462-nucleotide long non-coding RNA. RefSeq lists it as uncharacterized. Lineage: Eukaryota; Viridiplantae; Streptophyta; Magnoliopsida; Poales; Poaceae. The transcript has 3 exons. The record is from RefSeq and is a predicted model, not a curated record.
CGCCGCCGCCUCCCAUCCUCCGACCACGUCUGCUUCUCCUCCGGCCGGGCGCCGCCCUGCUCCUCCUCCUGGACUUUCUUUCUCCAGUGGUGAUCUUUGAACGCCACCAAAGUAUAUGCUUCAAGAUUGAGGGUGGGGUGUCGCAGGGCUUCUUGCAGUGUUGUCCGUGAUCGUCUUCACCUUCAUCGACCGGUCACGCUUCGAGGGUGAUUCCAACAUGCCAGGAGGGGGGCGCAAAGGAGGAGGAAGAAAGAGGCCCUCGAAGAAAGUUAGGGGCAUGUCGACCAUUCUCUCGAAGGCUCCACUUCAGGCUCCACUUCCCUCAGACUCCACUCCAGGCUCCACACGGUCUCCUAGUCCUCCACCUCUGAAGCGUCAGAGGGCUAGACGGCCAUCUACUCCUCCCCCAGUCGAGGAGCAGGUGGAGGAGGAGGAGGACGAGGAGGGGGAUGAGGACGAGGA